AUUGAACGCUGGCGGCAGGCCUAACACAUGCAAGUCGGACGGUAGCACAGAGAGCUUGCUCUUGGGUGACGAGUGGCGGACGGGUGAGUAAUGUCUGGGGAUCUGCCCGAUAGAGGGGGAUAACCACGGGAAACGGUGGCUAAUACCGCAUAACGUCGCAAGACCAAAGAGGGGGACCUUCGGGCCUCCCACUAUCGGAUGAACCCAGAUGGGAUUAGCUAGUAGGAGGGGUAAUGGCCCACCUAGGCGACGAUCCCUCGCUGGUCUGAGAGGCUGACCAGCCACACUGGAACUGAGACACGGUCCAGACUCCUACGGGAGGCAGCAGUGGGGAAUAUUGCACAAUGGACGCAAGCCUGAUGCAGCCAGGCCGCGUGUAUGAAGAAGGCCAUCGGGUUGUAAAGUACUUUCAGCGUGGAGGAAGGCGGUACGGUUAAUAACCGUACCGAUUGACGUUACCCGCAGAAGAAGCACCGGCUAACUCCGUGCCAGCCGCCGCAGUAA
Molecule: ribosomal RNA, 504 nt
Filed under: uncultured bacterium
Lineage: Bacteria
Description: partial 16S ribosomal RNA
Rfam family: Bacterial small subunit ribosomal RNA
Source: RNAcentral